CGGAGGAUCCAAGCGUUAUCCGGAAUCAUUUGGGUUUAAAGGGUCCGUAGGCGGUUUAGUAAGUCAGUGGUGAAAGCCCAUCGCUCAACGGUGGAACGGCCAUUUGAUACUGCUAAAACUUGAAUUAUUAGGAAGUAACUAGAAUAUGUAGUGUAGCGGUGAAAUGCUUAGAGAUUACAUGGAAUACCAAUUGCGAAGGCAGGUUUACUACUAAUUGAUUGACGCUGAUGGACGAAAGCGUGGUAGCGAACAGGAUU
Molecule: ribosomal RNA, 257 nt
Filed under: uncultured bacterium
Lineage: Bacteria
Description: partial 16S ribosomal RNA
Rfam family: Bacterial small subunit ribosomal RNA
Source: RNAcentral